AACAUAUGAUAGGCUCUUCAAAUAUAUUCUCUACCUAUUCUCCAUUCUUAAGAAAAGAAAAAUUCUGUAUCGCAGACGACUUCUUAACUACAAUUUCUGGUAUAGGUUCUGUUACAGGCAUUCCCAAUAUAAAUCUCACUUCACUUCUUCAUGUCCUAGCUUUUCUAUUAAUUUUUUGUUUGUCAGUUCCAGUAUCCAAGCCCUUAAAUGCAAAAUUAAAAUUUUUUUUCCUACUCAUUGCA
RNAcentral lists this unclassified non-coding RNA (242 nucleotides) under Hevea brasiliensis (rubber tree). Lineage: Eukaryota; Viridiplantae; Streptophyta; Magnoliopsida; Malpighiales; Euphorbiaceae. The record is from RNAcentral.